GAUGAACGCUGGCGGCGUGCCUAAUACAUGCAAGUCGAGCGAACAGACGAGGAGCUUGCUCCUCUGACGUUAGCGGCGGACGGGUGAGUAACACGUGGAUAACCUACCUAUAAGACUGGGAUAACUUCGGGAAACCGGAGCUAAUACCGGAUAAUAUAUUGAACCGCAUGGUUCAAUAGUGAAAGACGGUUUUGCUGUCACUUAUAGAUGGAUCCGCGCCGCAUUAGCUAGUUGGUAAGGUAACGGCUUACCAAGGCAGCGAUGCGUAGCCGACCUGAGAGGGUGAUCGGCCACACUGGAACUGAGACACGGUCCAGACUCCUACGGGAGGCAGCAGUAGGGAAUCUUCCGCAAUGGGCGAAAGCCUGACGGAGCAACGCCGCGUGAGUGAUGAAGGUCUUCGGAUCGUAAAACUCUGUUAUUAGGGAAGAACUAAUGUGUAAGUAACUAUGCACGUCUUGACGGUACCUAAUCAGAAAGCCACGGCUAACUACGUG
RNAcentral lists this ribosomal RNA (497 nucleotides) under uncultured bacterium. RNAcentral describes it as "partial 16S ribosomal RNA". It matches the Rfam family "Bacterial small subunit ribosomal RNA", at positions 28 to 507 of the family's 1533-position model. The record is from RNAcentral.